This is a non-coding RNA of Misgurnus anguillicaudatus (oriental weatherfish), 1233 nucleotides long. The record is from RefSeq and is a predicted model, not a curated record. Lineage: Eukaryota; Metazoa; Chordata; Actinopteri; Cypriniformes; Cobitidae.
UGACAGAUAUAAUACUUAUUUCAUUAUUGCUCUGUGUAUGUGUGACCUUCAUCAUUUGAGGUUAUGUGUUGAUUUCACCUCUGAAUAUUUCCUCUUAUAGGUCCAUCAUCCUUGCACACACUCAAAAGCAUUGAUAAAUGCUGAAUUUAAAAGAAUCACUACUGUCUAAUGUUCCUGCGUGUCACCUGGACCUCCAAUCCAAAAACCUGAUGAAACUCUUCUAUCAGAAAGGAUGACAGCUAGCAAAAAGACUUCAAACAAUUAAUGAUCAAAUGACAGAAGGCAUGGAUGAAGUCAGCAUCAGUGAGGUCAUUUGAAGACACCAAUGUUGGGAUUUGUGCUCUCAAACAACAUGCUUCUUGUGAUGAAGAAGAGGAUCUUUGUAUAGUCCUGGAAGCCAUGAAGGUGUUGCAACAUCGUGUUUGAGCUGAUGUAUGCCUUAAACCUGAUCUCCGCUUUAUUUUUGAGGAAAUCCAAACUGCAUUGAGAGUAACUUUAACGAACAGUUUCUUUCAGUGAAAGGAUCAGAAAGACUGUGCUGCUCAUUUUUGAAUUUUUUAUCUGUUUUAAGUGUUUUCUCUUAUUAAUACAUUAACAGUUUGCUGCUCAGAGACGAUUUUGGAAAUGGUUGUUGUAUUUUGUUUUUGUUGAAUCUUUGAUUUAACAGUUUAUAAAUGCUGUAGUUCUGACUUUCUGAAGGAUUGAUAUUUUCCAGUUUGUAAAUCCAUUUUAUAAAUAAUAGUACUUACUGUUUUGCAUGUCUCUUUGGAAUGCAGUGUUUGUGCUUUAGCACUUCUAAAUCUACUGUGAUAGUAACUAUUUUAAACAUUUGGGUCAGUUUCACAGAUGGGGCUUUUCCUAGUCCCAGACUUUUGCAAUGCCAUAUAUCAGUGCCAUUGUUUUGUCUAAAGAUGUACUCCAGUGUUGUUUUUGUAAGGUAGGUUUGUUUGUAAACUUUAUUUUAUUAAAAAUAUCCUAAUAUAACGAGGGCCUAGUCAUGGAUUAAUCUACAACCUGUUUGGGAAAUUGCCCCUUUAUGUAUGUACUGCAUGUGCUGAUUGUUGUAAUAGUUAUUGACUGUUAUUGAAUUAAUGUGUAGUGAUUUAAAUGAAUUGAUGAUCUGAAAGCAGUGGUUUGCCUCAAUAUCACUAAACAUUUGUACAAAACUCUUUGCUUUUUAUGCCAAUGCAAAUGUAUUUUGUAUUUUAAAAAAAAUAAAUAACAUUUGGAUAA